Molecule: ribosomal RNA, 610 nt
Filed under: uncultured bacterium
Lineage: Bacteria
Description: bacterial SSU rRNA
Rfam family: Bacterial small subunit ribosomal RNA
Source: RNAcentral
CCUACGGGAGGCAGCAGUGAGGAAUAUUGGACAAUGGGCGCAAGCCUGAUCCAGCCAUGCCGCGUGCAGGAAGACGCAUCUAUGGUGUGUAAACUGCUUUUGUACGGGAAGAAACACUCCCUCGUGAGGGAGCUUGACGGUACCGUAAGAAUAAGGAUCGGCUAACUCCGUGCCAGCAGCCGCGGUAAUACGGAGGAUCCAAGCGUUAUCCGGAAUCAUUGGGUUUAAAGGGUCCGUAGGCGGUUUAAUAAGUCAGUGGUGAAAGCCCAUCGCUCAACGAUGGAACGGCCAUUGAUACUGUUAGACUUGAAUUACUAGGAAGUAACUAGAAUAUGUAGUGUAGCGGUGAAAUGCUUAGAUAUUACAUGGAAUACCAAUUGCGAAGGCAGGUUACUACUAGUGGAUUGACGCUGAUGGACGAAAGCGUGGGGAGCGAACAGGAUUAGAUACCCUGGUAGUCCACGCCGUAAACGAUGGAUACUAGCUGUUGGGCGCAAGUUCAGUGGCUAAGCGAAAGUGAUAAGUAUCCCACCUGGGGAGUACGUUCGCAAGAAUGAAACUUAAAGAGUAGUGCGUGNGAGAGCGACGACGACGACGACGGAGGAGGAGG